RNAcentral lists this ribosomal RNA (361 nucleotides) under Ectobiidae sp. 7 FL-2016. Its description in RNAcentral is "12S ribosomal RNA". The record is from RNAcentral. Lineage: Eukaryota; Metazoa; Arthropoda; Insecta; Blattodea; Ectobiidae.
UUUUUUAUGUAAAUAUUUAUUAAUUUGGGUAGUAUUAGAUUUUUCUUUAAACUUAAAGAAUUUGGCGGUGUUUUAAUUCUUUUUAGAGGAAUCUGUUUUUUAAAUCGAUAAUCCGCGAUUUACCUUACUUUUUAUACUUAGUUUGUAUACCGCCGUUGUUUUGAAUAUUUUUUUAGAAUUUGAAAAUUUUCUUUAUUUUUUAUUAAAAUUUAUUUCAGGUCAAGGUGCAGCUUAUUAAUAAAGUGAAGAUGGAUUACAAUUUUGUAUUGAAAUAUGAAUAUUAUUAGUAUGAUUAAUUUGAAGGUGGAUUUAAUAGUAAUUUUAUAUAUAUUAUUAAAGUGAAAUUAGCUAUGAAACAUGU